UACGUAGGGUGCAAGCGUUGUCCGGAAUUAUUGGGCGUAAAGAGCUCGUAGGCGGUCUGUCGCGUCGGAUGUGAAAACCCAGGGCUCAACCCUGGGCCUGCAUUCGAUACGGGCAGACUAGAGUUCGGUAGGGGAGACUGGAAUUCCUGGUGUAGCGGUGAAAUGCGUAGAUAUCUGGAGGAACACCGGUGGCGAAGGCGGCAUCCUGGACCGAUAUUGACGCUGAGGCGCGAAAGCCAGGGGAGCAAACGGG
Molecule: ribosomal RNA, 253 nt
Filed under: uncultured bacterium
Lineage: Bacteria
Description: partial 16S ribosomal RNA
Rfam family: Bacterial small subunit ribosomal RNA
Source: RNAcentral